Ribosomal RNA from Pan troglodytes (chimpanzee), 148 nucleotides. It matches the Rfam family "5.8S ribosomal RNA". Rfam says of the family: 5.8S ribosomal RNA (5.8S rRNA) is a component of the large subunit of the eukaryotic ribosome. It is transcribed by RNA polymerase I as part of the 45S precursor that also contains 18S and 28S rRNA. The record is from Ensembl. NCBI's taxonomy places the organism in Eukaryota, Metazoa, Chordata, Mammalia, Primates, Hominidae.
AACAGUUAGCCAUGGAUCACUCAGCUCAUGCAUCGAUGAAGAACACAGCUGCAAGAAUUAAUGUGAAUUGCAGGACACAUUGAUCAUGGACACUUCAAACGCCCUUAUUGUGGCCCCUGGUUCCUCCCGGGGCUAUGCCUGAGUGUCA